UCCUGAAGAUUACUUCCCUGCCUGGAAAUGACUUCCUUUUGUCUCUGCAGGGAUGUGGCUUAUGUGGGUUCAUGUGAUGAUGGCUGUCUUGCCCUCGCUGAUCUUUUGGGUUGGAAGGAAGAGCUUGAAGAUAUUGUGAAGAAGGAACAUGCUGUGAUAGAUGGUAAGGCUGAGGGUGCACAGGACACUGCCAAACCCCCAGCUGUGGACGUGAAGAAAGAUGAUCCCAAGCCAAAGGAAUGCGAGCCAACAGCAGACACCAGGACAGAGAAACCGGCCGGUUAGAAAGGUGCCAGUCAGUCCGAUCACCGUAUAACCCAGCCAAGAGGCUGUCUGAGCAGGGGAGAUAACCUGGUGCGACUCUAGUAAUUUUAUAUUAACUGCUUUAAGAGUGACUGUACAACAUGGGACUGAUUCUCCCUUCCACACCUAUUACACUUUCAACCUUGUAGGUUUUCACAUACAUGAUUCUUGUCACUGUUUGCUACCGUGCCUCUAGAUGUCACUGGUUUUCCAUUUCCUUCAAUUGUCAGCAUCUAGAGGUGGUGGGUGGCGGAUGGGGUGGGGGGUGGACCGGUUUGGCUGCAGCUCUUUCGGGCAGACCGAUCUGCAGCAAUCUGAGCAGCCAGUGACUUCUGUUUCUUACGAUCCUUGUGUCUCGCUCCCCUAAACCAAGCUGGGGCCGAAAACACUGCUGCCUGGGAACCAGCUCCACUCAGGACAGUUUAAAGAGAAUGCUUUCUUUGUUAGCUUCAUUACAUAAGUCAAAAACUCUGCAUGCUCGAGUCUUAGAGAGAGAAAAACACUGGCAACUCAAAGAUUGGAGAAUUGAACCGUGUAACUAAAGGAUGAAAAAUGGCUUCGAAUUCCAGAGUGCUGAUGUUUAUAUUUUAAAUGCCUUAACCCUAACCCCUAUGAAUUCUUUCUCAAUACAAAGAUACAGGUAAUAAUUAUUAUUGAUGUAAAUAUAUAUAAAUAAACGGGUGGCAUAUUUCUGAUCCAACUGCAAAUUAAAACUUCAAAUUUGA
This is a non-coding RNA of Chiloscyllium plagiosum (whitespotted bambooshark), 1028 nucleotides long. NCBI's taxonomy places the organism in Eukaryota, Metazoa, Chordata, Chondrichthyes, Orectolobiformes, Hemiscylliidae. The record is from RefSeq and is a predicted model, not a curated record.